RNAcentral lists this ribosomal RNA (445 nucleotides) under uncultured bacterium. Its description in RNAcentral is "bacterial SSU rRNA". It matches the Rfam family "Bacterial small subunit ribosomal RNA", at positions 330 to 792 of the family's 1533-position model. The record is from RNAcentral.
CCCAGACUCCUACGGGAGGCAGCAGUGGGGAAUAUUGCACAAUGGGCGAAAGCCUGAUGCAGCGACGCCGCGUGAGUGAAGAAGUAUUUCGGUAUGUAAAGCUCUAUCAGCAGGGAAGAAAAUGACGGUACCUGACUAAGAAGCCCCGGCUAACUACGUGCCAGCAGCCGCGGUAAUACGUAGGGGGCAAGCGUUAUCCGGAUUUACUGGGUGUAAAGGGAGCGUAGACGGCGAAGCAAGUCUGAAGUGAAAACCCAGGGCUCAACCCUGGGACUGCUUUGGAAACUGUUUUGCUAGAAUGUCGGAGAGGUAAGUGGAAUUCCUAGUGUAGCGGUGAAAUACGUAGAUAUUAGGAGGAACACCAGUGGCGAAGGCGGCUUACUGGACGAUAACUGACGUUGAGGCUCGAAAGCGUGGGGAGCAAACAGGAUUAGAUACCCUCGUA